AUCUACUACUGCUACUAUAACCAUGUCUGGAGUCAAGGGACAUCAGAAGCAAUGCAAGGAUCCAUGUGACCCCUGCCCAGAUCCAUGCCCACCCCCACAGAAAUGCCCAGACCCUUGCAAACCAGACCCAUGCUAUAAACCAACUCCCCAGUGCCAAGAUCCAUGCAAGCCAUCACCUCAGCAGUGUCAGCAGGAUAAGAAUAAAUAUUGAGGGAGUUGUGAAUAUAACAGAAGCUGUCUCUCUCAGUAAUCUCAGGACAACCAUUAACAUCUUAAUCUAAAAUACCUCUUAACCUAUUAUUUAACCAUAUUAAUUGGUCAUCUCAUAAAAUGUUUAAUGAAAAUAAUAUGA
Long non-coding RNA from Bombina bombina (fire-bellied toad), 352 nucleotides. RefSeq lists it as uncharacterized. The record is from RefSeq and is a predicted model, not a curated record. Lineage: Eukaryota; Metazoa; Chordata; Amphibia; Anura; Bombinatoridae. The transcript is spliced from 3 exons.